UCGAGGGGAAACGAAGCGGGAGCUUGCUUCUGCUGUCGUCGACCGGCGCACGGGUGAGUAACGCGUAUCCAACCUGGCCUGAGGUAAGGGAUAAUCCGCAGAAAUGUGGUCUAAUACCUUAUGUGCUCCUAUGAGGCCAUCUGAAGAGGAGCAAAGAUUUAUCGCCUUAGGAUGGGGAUGCGUCUGAUUAGAUAGUUGGCGGGGCAACGGCCCACCAAGUCAUCGAUCAGUAGGGGUUCUGAGAGGAAAGUCCCCCACAUUGGAACUGAGACACGGUCCAGACUCCUACGGGAGGCAGCAGUGAGGAAUAUUGGUCAAUGGGCGAGAGCCUGAACCAGCCAAGUAGCGUGCAGGAUGACGGCCCUAUGGGUUGUAAACUGCUUUUAUGCGGGUAUAAAGGAGCAUACGUGUAUGUUUUUGCAGUUACCGCAUGAAUAAGGACCGGCUAAUUCCGUGCCAGCAGCCGCGGUAAUACGGAAGGUUCUGGUGUUAUCCGGAUUUAUUGGGUUUAAAGGGAGCGCAGGCUGUCAGAUAAGCGUGUUGUGAAAUGCGGUUGCUCAACAUCCGCACUGCAGCGCGAACUGUCUGACUUGAGUACGCACGACGUUGGUGGAAUUUGCCGUGUAGCGGUGAAAUGCUUAGAUAUGGCGAAGAACUCCGAUUGCGAAGGCAGCUGACGGGAGCGCUACUGACGCUCAUGCUCGAAAGUGCGGGUAUCGAACAGGAUU
Molecule: ribosomal RNA, 728 nt
Filed under: uncultured Prevotella sp.
Lineage: Bacteria; Pseudomonadati; Bacteroidota; Bacteroidia; Bacteroidales; Prevotellaceae
Description: bacterial SSU rRNA
Rfam family: Bacterial small subunit ribosomal RNA
Source: RNAcentral